GGGGGGGGGGGGAGCCUAUACAUGCAAGUCGAACGCUUCUUUUUCCACCGGAGCUUGCUCCACCGGAAAAAGAGGAGUGGCGAACGGGUGAGUAACACGUGGGUAACCUGCCCAUCAGAAGGGGAUAACACUUGGAAACAGGUGCUAAUACCGUAUAACAAUCGAAACCGCAUGGUUUUGAUUUGAAAGGCGCUUUCGGGUGUCGCUGAUGGAUGGACCCGCGGUGCAUUAGCUAGUUGGUGAGGUAACGGCUCACCAAGGCCACGAUGCAUAGCCGACCUGAGAGGGUGAUCGGCCACAUUGGGACUGAGACACGGCCCAAACUCCUACGGGAGGCAGCAGUAGGGAAUCUUCGGCAAUGGACGAAAGUCUGACCGAGCAACGCCGCGUGAGUGAAGAAGGUUUUCGGAUCGUAAAACUCUGUUGUUAGAGAAGAACAAGGAUGAGAGUAACUGUUCAUCCCUUGACGGUAUCUAACCAGAAAGCCACGGCUAACUACGUGCCAGCAGCCGCGGUAAUACGUAGGUGGCAAGCGUUGUCCGGAUUUAUUGGGCGUAAAGCGAGCGCAGGCGGUUUCUUAAGUCUGAUGUGAAAGCCCCCGGCUCAACCGGGGAGGGUCAUUGGAAACUGGGAGACUUGAGUGCAGAAGAGGAGAGUGGAAUUCCAUGUGUAGCGGUGAAAUGCGUAGAUAUAUGGAGGAACACCAGUGGCGAAGGCGGCUCUCUGGUCUGUAACUGACGCUGAGGCUCGAAAGCGUGGGGAGCAAACAGGAUUAGAUACCCUGGUAGUCCACGCCGUAAACGAUGAGUGCUAAGUGUUGGAGGGUUUCCGCCCUUCAGUGCUGCAGCUAACGCAUUAAGCACUCCGCCUGGGGAGUACGACCGCAAGGUUGAAACUCAAAGGAAUUGACGGGGGCCCGCACAAGCGGUGGAGCAUGUGGUUUAAUUCGAAGCAACGCGAAGAACCUUACCAGGUCUUGACAUCCUUUGACCACUCUAGAGAUAGAGCUUCCCCUUCGGGGGCAAAGUGACAGGUGGUGCAUGGUUGUCGUCAGCUCGUGUCGUGAGAUGUUGGGUUAAGUCCCGCAACGAGCGCAACCCUUAUUGUUAGUUGCCAUCAUUCAGUUGGGCACUCUAGCAAGACUGCCGGUGACAAACCGGAGGAAGGUGGGGAUGACGUCAAAUCAUCAUGCCCCUUAUGACCUGGGCUACACACGUGCUACAAUGGGAAGUACAACGAGUCGCGAAGUCGCGAGGCUAAGCUAAUCUCUUAAAGCUUCUCUCAGUUCGGAUUGCAGGCUGCAACUCGCCUGCAUGAAGCCGGAAUCGCUAGUAAUCGCGGAUCAGCACGCCGCGGUGAAUACGUUCCCGGGCCUUGUACACACCGCCCGUCACACCACGAGAGUUUGUAACACCCGAAGUCGGUGAGGUAACCUUUUGGAGCCAGCCGCCUAAGGGGAUUGU
Molecule: ribosomal RNA, 1463 nt
Filed under: Enterococcus faecium
Lineage: Bacteria; Bacillati; Bacillota; Bacilli; Lactobacillales; Enterococcaceae
Description: bacterial SSU rRNA
Rfam family: Bacterial small subunit ribosomal RNA
Source: RNAcentral